GUAGAGGCUAGAGAUAUCACAAGCUUAACGACACAAAACGUGGUUUAGGCAUCAUGCCAAGCGAACUUGUUGAAGCGCUUGAAGUUGAAGGCGACGUCGGCGAAGGCACAUGACAUUGGGCAUCUUCUGGCCGUGCUACGACACGAUGUGAUCCGGCGAUAACCACUGUUGCGACCUGCAAUCCUCCAAGCUGAACUUGAUGAAGCUUACGCUGUCACCUUGCCCUUGCCUCUGUCCUCCAUGGUUCCAAAUCCAAACCCGUCACACGAACACAAAAUAAUGGCAACUAAUGUUUAUGAUACGGAGAGUAUCAGAGGCAUCCAUGUAGGCCAAGAAAGUUAGUAUUCUUACUGAGAUAGAUGCCAAAGUCCAAAUGGAUUAACCCGACUAUUCCUAAUCAUGUCACCCAAGAAAGAAGAUAGGCUAGUCCAAUCGGGAUAUCCGAGACAACCCCAUUUGGCCCCAUGAUCAAACAAAUUGGUGCAUCCCUAAUCGGCCUAUCCGCCAACAUCGAAGAUAAUAGGCCACCUCUAAGUAUUCAGAAGCUCCCCUGACUCAAUGCUCUAUUCGGUCAGCUCCAUUCCUCAAAUAUCUCAGUAGAUCUCUUGACUCCAUGGCUUAGUUCCCCCCAACUUAGUAUUCCACUCGGUCAGCUCAACUCCUCAAAUCUCUCGAUCAAUUCACCGAACUUCAAGGGUUGAUCAGCUCCCUCGACUUCAGGGGCUCAGCUCUCCCCAACUCAAUGCUUCGCUCAAUAAGCUUCACCAGUCCAACUCGAUUCCUCUUAGUGGGUCAUACCCCUGAGGUUCAAUGGGUUCUCUGUUUUGUGGGCCAAUGCUAUCAUAGUAUAACACAUAGGUUGUCAGGACAUGUGGGACAAUAUAAUUAUACUGAUACAAGAUAUGGGCUAUGUGAUUACUAGAUACACUGAUAUGAUAUUUUGUUUACUGUGACAUAAUGUUCAAUUAAUGAAGAUAGAAUGUCAUCUCAACAAUGUUAUAAAAAGAGGCUCGCUCUCGUGGGCAUAGGUCUGGUGAGCGAUAACGACGAUUCCCUUCUCUUCUUGGUGAUCAGUGACUCCGUUAAUCUCAAAAAUAGCUCAUUGGUGAUUCACCCGUCGACAAUCUCAGGUAAGAAUUCGUAUUAAAGGCAAUUAUAUUAGAAUAUUGAUUCUUGAUCUCAAACAAUGAAAAGUAACACUUCCACUCCUCUUCCUAUUGUUGGUGCUGGGAGCACCAAACAAUCGAACUUAUGUUUUAAUUAUGGUAACGGGUUUAAAGUUAAAGUUACUUGUUGUCUAACAAGUGUAAAUGGGCUUGUAAAAAAGUCCUAAGCUAUCUUAGGCAAAAAUUCUAAUGGAUUCUAGGCUAGUGGAAAGUCCUAGCUGCGGUUAUGCACAAAGUCCUGAUCCGGGGGAUUGGGCGAAGUCUUGGCAAGUCAAACACUUUAGGCGAAAUCCUAGAAUCGGGGACUCUAGGUGAAAAUCUUGGUGGUCGCAAAGUAGGUGGAAGUCUGGAUAGGUUAUGGAGCAGAUGUUUAGCAUGAAGACCAGAAGUCUUGGACGCUAAGCAAAAGUCCAGAUUGUUUGGAGGACUGAUCUGGUAAAAAGAUAAUUUCUCUUAAGAGGAGUAGGUGAGGACGCAUUCCCCGUUGAGGAGACAGUAGGCAUCGGUUCGAUCUAGGGUUUUCAAGAAAUUGGAAAGUCAGAACCGGAUAGUCCAGAGGCUGUCAAAUAAUUUAUUAUUCAUAUUUUAUUGUGCUAACUUUGUUUUACAGGGUAUAUUUUGUUUGUGGACUAAUAUGCCUUGCAGGAAAGGAGAUGCACAAAGAAAUGUCUGGAUAAACAGUGUCCGAGGCGCCUCCGGGACUAUUUGAGGCACCUCUGGUGCCUUAGCCCAAGCUUUGCGAGGAAAGGAGCUAAAGGCACCUUCCAGGCGCUUUUGAACCAGGGAUGGAAGGCACCUUCCAAGAGCUUGAAGGCGCCUUCGAAUGGAUAAAGUUCGUAGAAAGUGGAGCUUAUCGGUACCACAGAUUUGGGGAUAGAAAUCCAAGAUGGAGGCACUUUUAAUGGGGUUGAAGGCGCCUUCAACAACCCAUAAAAGAGGGUCUCGAGCAGAUGGUUGAAGACACUUGAUUUUCGCAAUCUUUCUCUUACGCGCUGCUCCAAGAACAAUCCCGCUACUCUACGACGCGACUCCAGCGAUCAGGUGACGUGACUUCAACAACCAAGUGAUGCAACUCUGGUGAUUGAGCGACACAACUCUGACAACCGAAAGUACAACUCUCCAGAUCCUAAAGUUGUUGGUAUACUUUACUUGUUGCAAAGUUGUACUUCAAUAUUUUUGUAAUAUUUGAACCGAUAGUGGAUUGCUCAAUAAAAGUGAUCAAUGAUCGUGAGCCUUGGAGUAGGAGUCGUCAAAGGCUCUGAACCAAGUAAAAUCAAA
Molecule: long non-coding RNA, 2444 nt
Organism: Zingiber officinale
Lineage: Eukaryota; Viridiplantae; Streptophyta; Magnoliopsida; Zingiberales; Zingiberaceae
Exons: 2
Source: RefSeq, a predicted model, not a curated record